GAUGAAGAACGUAGCGAAAUGCGAUACUUGGUGUGAAUUGCAGAAUCCCGUGAACCAUCGAGUCUUUGAACGCAAGUUGCGCCCGAAGCCAUUAGGCCGAGGGCACGCCUGCCUGGGCGUCACACGUCGUUGCCCCCCCAUCUACUCCUUCGGGAUUGCGGGGGGCGGAUGAUGGCCUCCCGUGCGCCUCGCCGCGCGAUUGGCAUAAAUGCCAAGUCCUCGGCGACGCACGCCACGACAAUCGGUGGUUGCGAAACCUCGGUUGCCCGUCGUGUGCGGUCGUCGCGCAUCGAGGGCUCGAAAAAAUUGCCGGGUUCCGGCUCGGCUUUCAACGCGACCCCAGGUCAAGCGGGGUUACCCGCUGAAUUUAAGCAUAUCAAUAAGUGGAGGA
This 391-nucleotide unclassified non-coding RNA is filed under the name soil metagenome. RNAcentral's name for it is "partial contains 5.8S ribosomal RNA, internal transcribed spacer 2, and large subunit ribosomal RNA". The stretch from base 1 to 122 matches the Rfam family "5.8S ribosomal RNA", at positions 35 to 154 of the family's 154-position model. The record is from RNAcentral.